UUUAUUGGAGAGUUUGAUCCUGGCUCAGGAUGAACGCUGGCGGCGUGCCUAAUACAUGCAAGUCGAGCGAAUGAAUUAAGAGCUUGCUCUUAUGAAGUUAGCGGCGGACGGGUGAGUAACACGUGGGUAACCUGCCCAUAAGACUGGGAUAACUCCGGGAAACCGGGGCUAAUACCGGAUAACAUUUUGAACUGCAUGGUUCGAAAUUGAAAGGCGGCUUCGGCUGUCACUUAUGGAUGGACCCGCGUCGCAUUAGCUAGUUGGUGAGGUAACGGCUCACCAAGGCAACGAUGCGUAGCCGACCUGAGAGGGUGAUCGGCCACACUGGGACUGAGACACGGCCCAGAC
This 348-nucleotide ribosomal RNA is filed under the name Bacillus sp. BI3. Its description in RNAcentral is "bacterial SSU rRNA". It matches the Rfam family "Bacterial small subunit ribosomal RNA", at positions 1 to 336 of the family's 1533-position model. The record is from RNAcentral. Lineage: Bacteria; Bacillati; Bacillota; Bacilli; Caryophanales; Bacillaceae.